This 70-nucleotide transfer RNA is filed under the name Marmota monax (woodchuck). It matches the Rfam family "tRNA". Rfam says of the family: Transfer RNA (tRNA) molecules are approximately 80 nucleotides in length. Lineage: Eukaryota; Metazoa; Chordata; Mammalia; Rodentia; Sciuridae. The record is from Rfam by way of RNAcentral.
GUACGUGUAGCUCAGGGGUAGAGCACCUGCCUAGCAUGCAUGAGGCCCUGGGUUCAACCCCAGCGCCACA